GCUCAGUAACACGUGGACAACGUACCCUAAAGUGGAGCAUAAUCUCGGGAAACUGAGGAUAAUUCUCCAUAGACCAUGAGAUCUGGAAUGACUUAUGGUUCAAAGUUCCGGCGCUUUAGGAUCGGUCUGCGGCCUAUCAGGUAGUAGUGGGUGUAACGUACCCCCUAGCCGUUGACGGGUAUGGGCCUUGAGAGAGGGAGCCCAGAGUUGGAUUCUGAGACACGAAUCCAGGCCCUACGGGGCGCAGCAGUCGCGAAAACUUCACAAUGGGCGAAAGCCCGAUGAGGGAAUUCCUAGUGCUAGCACUUUUGUGCUAGCUUUUCUUCAGCGUAGAUAACUGGAGGAAUAAGGGCUGGGUAAGACGGGUGCCAGCCGCCGCGGUAAUACCCGCAGCCCGAGUGGUGGUCGAUUUUAUUGAGUCUAAAACGUUCGUAGCCGGUCUAAUAAAUCCUUGGGUAAAUCGGAAGGCUUAACUUUCCGAAUUCCGAGGAGACUGUUAGGCUUGGGAUCGGGAGAGGUAAGAGGUACUUCAGGGGUAGGGGUAAAAUCCUGUAAUCCUUGGAGGACCACCGGUGGCGAAGGCGUCUUACUAGAACGAAUCCGACGGUGAGGGACGAAGCCCUAGGUCGCAAACGGGAUUAGAUACCCCGGUAGUCUAGGGUGUAAACGCUGCAGACUUGGUGUUGGGGGCCCUUCGGGGGCAUUCAGUGCCGGAGAGAAGUUGUUAAGUCUGCUACUUGGGGAGUACGUCCGCAAGGAUGAAACUUAAAGGAAUUGGCGGGGGAGCACCGCAACGGGAGGAGCGUGCGGUUUAAUUGGAUUCAACACCGGAAAACUCACCAAGGGAGACCAUCACAUGAAAGCCAGGCUAAUGACUUUGCUUGAUUCUUGGAGAAAUGGUGCAUGG
Molecule: ribosomal RNA, 907 nt
Filed under: uncultured archaeon
Lineage: Archaea
Description: bacterial SSU rRNA
Rfam family: Archaeal small subunit ribosomal RNA
Source: RNAcentral